Molecule: long non-coding RNA, 922 nt
Organism: Triticum aestivum (bread wheat)
Lineage: Eukaryota; Viridiplantae; Streptophyta; Magnoliopsida; Poales; Poaceae
Exons: 3
Source: RefSeq, a predicted model, not a curated record
CGGCCUCCUCGCCCCGCGGCUAUAUAAGCCAGCCCCGACCCCUCCCGAGCUCACCACUCGACCUCAUGCCCUCCACUACCCCUCCCCAGCCAGUCAAACGAUCUCGAGGAGCUCUCGGUCGCCAUCAUUGCCGCCAUGGCCGCCGCGGCCUCCCUCCUAAAUUAGCGCGAAGCCGGCCCCCUCCCUCCCUCAUUCCUUCACCAGAGAACUCUCCUCGGGCCCCUGAUCCUCCCCACCUACUUGCCCCUCGACGGAGUGCCCCGCAGCCCCAAAGCCGAACCCCACCCGAAGCCAUCUCCGCCGGAGUCCGCGCCCUCGUCGCUCCGGUCCUCCUCGGCGUCCGUGUCCAGGCGGGAUGGAUGCGGCGCCUCUUCCCGAUCUCCCCGGUGCCCGUAGCCUCGCCGGAGGCGGUCUGUGACGCCGGAGCUCGUCGCCGGAGCGCGCCGGUCCUCCUCUGCAUCGCGGGCGAGCGGGAGGAGGAAGAAGGAGCUAGGCCGGGCGGGCCCCAUCUCCACGCGGCCCCACCUGUCGGCGGGUAGGCGUUGACCCUGCCUGCCUAGUUAGAUAAGUGACGGGCCCCACAGCCCGUGGGACCCGCACGUCAGCUGCUCAAGCCCCUGCCCCGCCUCUGCCACGUGUUUAAGUGGAGGCGUACUCCGUUGACCCAGAAUGCGUUGUCUUAAUCAGGAAGCGUAUUUCUAAAUUUGCGCUUCUGCCUUAUCCACUCAGGGACUUGUUUGUGGUGAUAUUUUUACAGAAAAGUCCCUGAACUUCAACCCUUCAUAUCUUUUUAAACACAACUCCAAAUGAGCCCCUCCGAGAGAGAACUGUUUCUGGCAAAUCUUUUCGCGGCUUCACUGCACUCCUUCCCGGUGCCUUCUUCACCCCAGGCAAGCCACAAUACCCACUUGCAUGAUAGUCA